CAGUAGCCACGGUAAUACGGAGGGUGCAAGCGUUAAUCGGAAUUACUGGGCGUAAAGCGCACGCAGGCGGUCUGACAAGUCAGAUGUGAAAUCCCCGGGCUUAACCUGGGAACUGCAUUUGAAACUGUCAGGCUGGAGUCUUGUAGAGGGGGGUAGAAUUCCGGGUGUAGCGGUGAAAUGCGUAGAGAUCUGGAGGAAUACCGGUGGCGAAGGCGGCCCCCUGGACAAAGACUGACGCUCAGGUGCGAAAGCGUGGGGAGCAAACAGGAUUAGAUACCCCUGUAGUCCCUGUCUCUUAUAC
This 301-nucleotide ribosomal RNA is filed under the name uncultured bacterium. Its description in RNAcentral is "partial 16S ribosomal RNA". It matches the Rfam family "Bacterial small subunit ribosomal RNA", at positions 509 to 807 of the family's 1533-position model. The record is from RNAcentral.